RNAcentral lists this ribosomal RNA (732 nucleotides) under Triticum aestivum (bread wheat). RNAcentral describes it as "partial small subunit ribosomal RNA". Lineage: Eukaryota; Viridiplantae; Streptophyta; Magnoliopsida; Poales; Poaceae. The record is from RNAcentral.
AUGCGUGGCUACGCCGAUGAGCUAGCUGCCGCAGGCAAGGCGAUCCCCGACGACGAACUCGCCUCCUACAUCAUCCACGGGCUCGACGCCGACUAUCAGCCUCUGGUCUCCGCCCUCGACGCUCGCGUGGCAGGGGUAACCCUUGAUGAACUCUUUGCCAUGUUAUCCAAUUUCGAUCAGCGCAUGGCUCAAUUCCAGGGGGGCGGCGGCGGCUUCUUCAAAUCAUCCGCGAACGCGGCCACUCGCGGGCGGGGUGGCGGCUCUCGGUCGCGUGGCCCCUCUCGCAACAAGGGCAGGUCCAGCGGCGUUGGCAACCGUGGCGCUACGCCACCCCGAUCUGGUGGCCGAGGUCGUCGCAGACGCGGCGCUGGCGGCGGCGGCAGGAACCGCCCGGACACCCCUCGGUGCCAGAUCUGCGGCAAGGUCGGGCACACAGCAAAGGAUUGCUGGAACAGGUAUGAGGAGGACGACUACGACUCUCAAGAUGAAGAAAAAGUCGCUGCGGCGGCCGAGGGCUCAUAUGGCGUCGACACGAACUGGUACGUCGACAGUGCUGCUACCAACCACAUCACCAACGAGCUCGAAAAAGGAACCAUGAAGGAGAAGUAUCAUGGCAAGGAUCAAAUCCACACUGCCAGUGGAGAAGGUAUGAGUAUAAGUCACUUUGGUCACUCAAUAUUUCGUACCCCUCAUCGCAAUAUCCAUCUUAGAUUUUUUUUUGCAUGUUCCUAG